Non-coding RNA from Sus scrofa (pig), 1422 nucleotides. The record is from RefSeq and is a predicted model, not a curated record. NCBI's taxonomy places the organism in Eukaryota, Metazoa, Chordata, Mammalia, Artiodactyla, Suidae.
AAUGCAGGUAGGCUAUGAUGGUGUUUGCCUGAGCUGGGAGCCUCACUUCCUAGGAUCCAGUUUUCUAGAAGCUCCAGGAAGCCAUUUCUAUGGAAAGUUUGCUACCUUCAAAGUGCUGUCAGAAAGUGACAUGAUGCUACACAUAGAAAAUCUGAAACAUGCUGCCAGAAAGCUACUAGAGUUCAUCAAUGAAUUUGGUUUGGAAAUUCUGUAUCAUCUUCAUUUUCACCAAAUUGUUGAGAGCACAGAACACAUGGACAUAGAAGAUGAGAAUCCGCUUGUUUUCACUCCUUCCUACACAGGACAGAGAUUGGAAAAAAUAUGAAUCAAGAAUUUUAAGUGUUAAUUUACUUCUACAUUGUGGGAUAAUGUGAUUUUUCUCUUUUUUAUGUACCUGCAUUUUCUGAAUAUUUUACAGCAAACUUGUGUUAUUCCUUUAAAAUUAAACAAAGUGAAGCAAUUUGUAUAAUUGCAUUAUUUUUCUCACAAGAAGUUAUAUAAAACCCCACUAGGUCCCAUUCUGGUCCUCAGCUUUGAAUUGUUUCAUUAUGCAGAGGGGAAAAGCUGAGAAUUUAUCUCUGGGGUCCUUAGGAAUUUUCUCUAUGCAAUUUGUAAUGGAUUCGGUUGGAUGUCCAAUAUAAACUUCACUCCAUGGCUCUCCUUCCUCCCUGUCCUCGUUCUUGUGUGAAGACAUAAAAAUAUGACUUUCCAGAAUUAGUUUACAUUUCAGCCCAAAGAAAUGGUUUCAGUGGAAAUAGCUAAAGAGUGUGCUUGUAUCUGUCUUAUUGACUAAUUCUUUUUCCCUUAAUUGAAAAACAAAGAGGAAAGAAGAAGAAAAGAAAGAAGAAAAAAAAAAAAAGAACUGUACUGGUUUAGAAAACACUUUUCAAGAUCGCUGUCUCCAACUGUGCUUGUUCUCGCUGUCUGUUCUGGUCCAUUAGAUAAACAUGGUGUUCAAGAGCUGGGCGGUUGUUGAUAUAUUUGGCAACACUGAUAAUGUGAUCUAUGUUUAGGAGGAAGUGGGUUCGUCAUUCUGCAGGGGCAUAGGUUUUCUGAAAGUGAUUGUUCCUUUUUCAAGGAAAAGUUAGGUCCUUGAAGAGCAAGUUUUCACUGAGAGUUUGAGCAUUUUUAAUUUGUCAUCUGUACUUUUUUUAUGUUGUUCCUAUUGGAAUUUUUGAUUAAUCUGUGGGCUUAUUCUCAGAGCAGCAGCAGGUACUUACUGAAAAGAAAUGCAAACCCAGUUGCUUCUGACUCUAGAGGGUAUAAUUAGUGUAAUAAGGAAAAUGGAGGGGCUUGUCAUCUUAGCAUAGCUCUUUAAUAUCCAUCAGUCAUGAUUUUUAGUGUUUUCAUUUGUGAACUUCGUUUAAAAAUAUACAUACAAAAGAACCUUAAAUCUCAGACUUCUCUCUCUCAUAAAUAUGU